UAGGGAAUCUUCGGCAAUGGACGAAAGUCUGACCGAGCAACGCCGCGUGAGUGAAGAAGGUUUUCUGAUCGUAAAACUCUGUUGUUAGAGAAGAACAAGGACGUCAGUAACUGAACGUCCCCUGACGGUAUCUAACCAGAAAGCCACGGCUAACUACGUGCCAGCAGCCGCGGUAAUACGUAGGUGGCAAGCGUUGUCCGGAUUUAUUGGGCGUAAAGCGAGCGCAGGCGGUUUCUUAAGUCUGAUGUGAAAGCCCCCGGCUCAACCGGGGAGGGUCAUUAGAAACUGGGAGACUUGAGUGCAGAAGAGGAGAGUGGAAUUCCAUGUGGAGCGGUGAAAUGCGUAGAUAUGUGGAGGAACACCAGUGGCGAAGGCGGCUCUCUGGUCUGUAACAGACGCUGAGGCUCGAAAGCGUGGGGAGCAAACAGG
RNAcentral lists this ribosomal RNA (429 nucleotides) under Gemmatimonadota bacterium. Its description in RNAcentral is "Gemmatimonadetes bacterium partial 16S ribosomal RNA". It matches the Rfam family "Bacterial small subunit ribosomal RNA", at positions 355 to 776 of the family's 1533-position model. The record is from RNAcentral. Lineage: Bacteria; Pseudomonadati; Gemmatimonadota.